CCUACGGGAGGCAGCAGUAGGGAAUUUUCCGCAAUGGGCGAAAGCCUGACGGAGCAAUACCGCGUGAGGGAUGACUGCCUAUGGGUUGUAAACCUCUUUUUUCAGGGAGGAAUAAAUGACGUGUACCUGAAGAAUAAGCAUCGGCUAACUCCGUGCCAGCAGCCGCGGUAAGACGGAGGAUGCAAGUGUUAUCCGGAAUCACUGGGCGUAAAGCGUCUGUAGGUGGCUCAACAAGUCAACUGUUAAAUCUUGAAGCUCAACUUCAAAAUCGCAGUCGAAACUAUUGAACUAGAGUAUAGUAGAGGUAAAGGGAAUUUCCAGUGGAGCGGUGAAAUGCGUAGAGAUUGGAAAGAACACCAAUGGCGAAGGCACUUUACUGGGCUAUUACUGACACUCAGAGACGAAAGCUAGGGUAGCAAAUGGGAUUAGAUACCCCAGUAGUCCUAGCCGUAAACAAUGGAUACUAGGUGUUGAACAGAUCGACCUGUGCAGUACUAAAGCUAACGCGUUAAGUAUCCCGCCUGGGAAGUAUGCACGCAAGUGUGAAACUCAAAGGAAUUGACGG
RNAcentral lists this ribosomal RNA (565 nucleotides) under uncultured bacterium. RNAcentral describes it as "bacterial SSU rRNA". It matches the Rfam family "Bacterial small subunit ribosomal RNA", at positions 338 to 916 of the family's 1533-position model. The record is from RNAcentral.